UACGGAGGGUGCGAGCGUUGUCCGGAAUCACUGGGCGUAAAGGGCGCGUAGGCGGCAUGCCAAGCGUGUGGUGAAAGCCCGGGGCUCAACCCCGGGUCGGCCGUGCGGACUGGCAUGCUCGAGCACUGUAGGGGCGGGUGGAAUUCCGGGUGUAGCGGUGGAAUGCGUAGAUAUCGGGAGGAACACCUGAGGCGAAGGCGGGCUACUGGGCCGAUACUGACGCUGAGGCGCGAAAGCCAGGGGAGCAAACGGG
This 253-nucleotide ribosomal RNA is filed under the name uncultured bacterium. Its description in RNAcentral is "partial 16S ribosomal RNA". It matches the Rfam family "Bacterial small subunit ribosomal RNA", at positions 524 to 776 of the family's 1533-position model. The record is from RNAcentral.